UACGUAGGGGGCGAGCGUUGUCCGGAAUUAUUGGGCGUAAAGAGCGUGUAGGCGGUUCGGUAAGUCUGCCGUGAAAACCUGGGGCUCAACCCUGGGCGUGCGGUGGAUACUGCCGGGCUAGAGGGUGGUAGAGGCGAGUGGAAUUCCCGGUGUAGCGGUGAAAUGCGCAGAUAUUGGGAGGAACACCAGUAGCGAAGGCGGCUCGCUGGGCCAUUCCUGACGCUGAGACGCGAAAAGCUAGGGGGAGCGAAACAGG
This 256-nucleotide ribosomal RNA is filed under the name uncultured bacterium. RNAcentral describes it as "partial 16S ribosomal RNA". It matches the Rfam family "Bacterial small subunit ribosomal RNA", at positions 524 to 776 of the family's 1533-position model. The record is from RNAcentral.